This 681-nucleotide ribosomal RNA is filed under the name uncultured bacterium. RNAcentral's name for it is "bacterial SSU rRNA". It matches the Rfam family "Bacterial small subunit ribosomal RNA", at positions 139 to 807 of the family's 1533-position model. The record is from RNAcentral.
GGGGAUAACACUUGGAAACAGGUGCUAAUACCGCAUAACCAUAGUUACCGCAUGGUAACUAUGUAAAAGGUGGCUAUGCUACCGCUUUUGGAUGGGCCCGCGACGCAUUAGCUAGUUGGUGGGGUAAAGGCUUACCAAGGCAAUGAUGCGUAGCCGAACUGAGAGGUUGAUCGGCCACAUUGGGACUGAGACACGGCCCAAACUCCUACGGGAGGCAGCAGUAGGGAAUCUUCCACAAUGGGCGAAAGCCUGAUGGAGCAACGCCGCGUGGGUGAAGAAGGUCUUCGGAUCGUAAAACCCUGUUGUUAGAGAAGAAAGUGCGUGAGAGUAACUGUUCACGUUUCGACGGUAUCUAACCAGAAAGCCACGGCUAACUACGUGCCAGCAGCCGCGGUAAUACGUAGGUGGCAAGCGUUAUCCGGAUUUAUUGGGCGUAAAGAGAACGCAGGCGGUCUUUUAAGUCUGAUGUGAAAGCCUUCGGCUUAACCGGAGUAGUGCAUUGGAAACUGGGAGGCUUGAGUGCAGAAGAGGAGAGUGGAACUCCAUGUGUAGCGGUGAAAUGCGUAGAUAUAUGGAAGAACACCAGUGGCGAAAGCGGCUCUCUGGUCUGUAACUGACGCUGAGGUUCGAAAGCGUGGGUAGCAAACAGGAUUAGAUACCCUGGUAGUCCACGCCGUAAAC